AAAAAGUCAAACCCUGAAUUUUCGUAUCCAACUUUGACUGUCCAUUUUAUAUGAAAUUUUUUUAUAAUUCAUAUUUUCAUUGUUGUUAGAUGAUAAAAUAUAAUUAAUAUUUUAUGUGUGACUUGUCUUUUUAAUUUUUUUUAUAAUUUUUUCAAAUAAGACGGACGGUCAAACGUUAGACACGGAAACC
This 190-nucleotide microRNA precursor is filed under the name Oryza sativa Japonica Group (Japanese rice). RNAcentral's name for it is "MIR812 microRNA precursor family". It matches the Rfam family "MIR812 microRNA precursor family". Lineage: Eukaryota; Viridiplantae; Streptophyta; Magnoliopsida; Poales; Poaceae. The record is from Rfam by way of RNAcentral.